Molecule: long non-coding RNA, 1820 nt
Filed under: Olea europaea subsp. europaea
Lineage: Eukaryota; Viridiplantae; Streptophyta; Magnoliopsida; Lamiales; Oleaceae
Rfam family: Plant small nucleolar RNA SNOR75 (bases 329-417)
Source: RNAcentral
CAGGCUCGGCCUCGCUCAGGCCUAAUAGAGCAAUCCAGUUUGAAAAUGAAAAGGCCCAAUUUGUUUUUGGUGAGCUUAUAACCAGUCCAGAUUGGAGUGGCUCGUUGCAGAAAACCACCAACCCUAGCUAAAACCCUAAAGCUGCUUCCAUCCUCGUUCAGCAAUUAUAAGUUCCGCUGCCACGCCUCUCAUUCUUCACCAUUUCGUCAUAAUCAUAAUACCUGCGACUUGGAUUUCAGGUAUUAUUCUGUUAAUUCUUUCUCUCUCCCUCUCUCUAAUCCAUUUUCAAUUAUUACUUCAUCGAAUUUGUUUUUUAAUUUUUUCUGUUUCUCGGUGAUGAGCAAAUUAUGAUGACGAGUCUGAUUAUCCAUUCUUUCUAAAAUCAUGACGACGAAUCGAGGCAUUUGUCUGAGAGGAACACGAAAUCAAAUUCAACUUUUUAUUAUGAUUUUAUUGAUUAAUAGGAGGCUGGGGGCAUAAUGAUGAUGGAUACAAAUUGUUCUGAAUUUUUGUUGAUUGAUUGAGUUACAAUAACCUUCUACUCAUUCUGAAUGUCCCCUUCAAUUACUGAAUUUGCAGAUUUGGUUUAUGAACCUUUCGGAUUUCGUUCUGUUAGUUGGAUAACCCAAGGAUCCGUUUCUAAGUUCAAAUCAAUUAUUCGAUGCAUUUUCUUUUGGAUGUCUAUAGUUUAUAAACAUUCGCAAUUCUUUCAGAAGAGUACAUCGGUAGAAGUAUAAUUGUUGAUAAUUACUUAUUAGAUUCUUGUAAUUAUUUUAUUGUUAAUUUUAUGUUUAUUAUAUUAUUGUUCCCAUAAUUCCGCAAAGAGAAGGAAAAUGUGGCAAUGAUGAGAAAAUCAAUCUCUCUUUAAUACAUAAUUGAGGGAUACCUAUGAUUGAUUUAUUUUUUUUCAAGCACUUUUGAGCCACCCACUGUCAAAUUCUUUUCUUUCUCUUUAUGGUCCUUGGUAUUAUUUUUGUUACUAUUUUUUUACUCUUUUUUGCUAUCUUGUGCACAUAGAAAAAGUAGAUUUAAUUAUUAUAGGAACAAUCAUAAAAUCAAUGGAGGUAUCAUCAUCUUCAAAAGCAUAAAGAAAAUGCUUCUUAGCAGGAAAGCCAGCAACUGGUAUGUCUUGUAAAAUGAAAAAAAUGACUGUAAUCGGAUGCGGACAUGUCACUCUAGUUCGUUUUCGAGCUUCAUAUAUUGUACAAAUUAGGAAUAAAGCAAAGUAAUGCACGGUCCAAAGUCUUCUAUUUUUCAUAUUUAGUCCAUGUUUGUCUCCAAUUCUCUGAAGAAAUAAUAGAUUUUUUUGACCGUUUUAUGCCAGCAUGUGGGGCUCAGUUUGAGAGACAAAGUCAACAAUGGUGACAGGCAGUCCACCAAUCCACCAACGGUUGGAAAAUGGAUUAUGAGUUUGUUUAGUAGGACUUAAAAGUCAAUUAAAAUUAAUUUUUUGAUCGUUAUUUCAUUAUUUCAGUCGUCAUUUUUGAAUUUUUCUCUUACAUGUAUGACCCACAUUCUCUCUAACGGUCAAAAAAUCAUUUAUCAAAAUCCCUACCAAACAAACACUAUAUUUGGGCUGAAAAUUUGAAACCGAAAAAAAAAAUUAGUUUUGGGUUGCACGUCUUUCCUCUUUUAUUUUAUUUUCUUUUCUUUUCUUUUGUUUUUGCUUUGUUUUCUUAGUCACUUCUUGAUAUGUAAAUGGUCCUUUCCUUCACUUAAGAAAUUUGAAGGAAAAUGAAAAAGUCCCAUCUCAUCAGGGCUAAUUUGAUCGCUAUUGGAAGUUUGUGACUCAAGUUUUGACAAUAAAUCCAAAGUUGAGA